GCGCGUAUAGCUCAAUUGGUUAGAGCAUCGAGCUUAUACCUCGAGGGUUCCAGGUUCGAGUCCUGGUACGCGCA
RNAcentral lists this transfer RNA (74 nucleotides) under Candidatus Woesebacteria bacterium. RNAcentral describes it as "tRNA-Ile". It matches the Rfam family "tRNA". Rfam says of the family: Transfer RNA (tRNA) molecules are approximately 80 nucleotides in length. Their secondary structure includes four short double-helical elements and three loops (D, anti-codon, and T loops). Further hydrogen bonds mediate the characteristic L-shaped molecular structure. tRNAs have two regions of fundamental functional importance: the anti-codon, which is responsible for specific mRNA codon recognition, and the 3' end, to which the tRNAs corresponding amino acid is attached (by aminoacyl-tRNA synthetases). tRNAs cope with the degeneracy of the genetic code in two manners: having more than one tRNA (with a specific anti-codon) for a particular amino acid; and 'wobble' base-pairing, i.e. permitting non-standard base-pairing at the 3rd anti-codon position. The record is from RNAcentral. Lineage: Bacteria; Candidatus Woeseibacteriota.